Molecule: unclassified non-coding RNA, 231 nt
Filed under: plant metagenome
Description: partial contains small subunit ribosomal RNA, internal transcribed spacer 1, and 5.8S ribosomal RNA
Source: RNAcentral
GCUCCGUUGGUGAACCAGCGGAGGGAUCAUUACCGAGUUUCAGCAACUCCCAACCCUUGCGAACCGUACCCCUGUCUGUUCUCGUUGCUUCCGGCAGGCGGGGGGGGCCACCUGGCCCCUCCCCCUGCCGGGGGCGGCGGGCCCUAUGAACCUUUAUAUCUCAACCACUGAAGCCCGUCUGAGCAAAACAAAAAAUAAUCAAAACUUUCAACAACGGAUCUCUUGGCUCUG